RNAcentral lists this ribosomal RNA (420 nucleotides) under uncultured bacterium. Its description in RNAcentral is "bacterial SSU rRNA". It matches the Rfam family "Bacterial small subunit ribosomal RNA", at positions 355 to 773 of the family's 1533-position model. The record is from RNAcentral.
UAAGGAAUAUUGGUCGAUGGACGCAAGUCUGAACCAGCCAUGCCGCGUGAAGGAUGAAGGUCCUCUGGAUUGUAAACUUCUUUUAUCUGGGACGAAAACGGGAUUUUUAUCUCAAUUGACGGUACCAGAGGAAUAAGCACCGGCUAACUCCGUGCCAGCAGCCGCGGUAAUACGGAGGGUGCGAGCGUUAUCCGGAUUUACUGGGUUUAAAGGGUGCGUAGGUGGGCUUAUAAGUCAGUGGUGAAAUCUCCGAGCUCAACUUGGAAACUGCCGUUGAUACUAUAGGUCUUGAAUUAUCUGGAGGUAAGCGGAAUAUGUCAUGUAGCGGUGAAAUGCUUAGAUAUGACAUAGAGCACCAAUUGCGAAGGCAGCUUACUGCAUAUAAAUUGACGCUGAGGCACGAAAGCGUGGGGAUCAAAC